This 599-nucleotide long non-coding RNA is filed under the name Salmo salar (Atlantic salmon). RNAcentral describes it as "lncRNA (ENSSSAG00000106344.1)". The record is from RNAcentral. Lineage: Eukaryota; Metazoa; Chordata; Actinopteri; Salmoniformes; Salmonidae.
GCACACUCACCAUGAGGAAGGAGUAGCUGGCCCACAAACUCCUCCAUCCGGGGGGACAGCUGGGGGCGUUGUGAUCUUGGCUGCGAGGGCGUCUCUCACACACGGCACAGCUGCUGAUGUGGCCGAGGAUUUCGCCCCCCGACACGGGCAUCAUGGGCACGGCCGCAGAGGUGGAGAGCCAGUAGGACUUACCGUUGCGUCUGGCGUAGUCACAGGUGUAGCAGAAGGGCAUGGUGCUGAAGACUUGCAUACACAAGCCUGCCUGGCUUGUGUCUCCCUGGGGGCCCUCGCAACCCAGCAGGACCCUUAAGACCCAGGAGAGGACACAAACACCACAAUCAGUCAGUGUGAAGCACAGGUGGUCCCUCGUCGCCCCUCCUUCCCUUCUCACCGUGAGGCCCUGCAAGGCCCCUGUGACCAUCUGGGCCCUGUGGCCCCUGCUUCAACCUCCCUGGUUCCCCCUGGAGAGCUUGUGUUGGAAGUCAGUUGCACAAACAUGGAGCAACAUUUACUUGUGUUUCCUAAAUAUUUGGAUAUUUGAGAGAUUUAUUUUGUAAGACAGGAUAACUCCCACUACACAUCUGGCAAUAAAACUGGCC